Molecule: ribosomal RNA, 292 nt
Filed under: uncultured bacterium
Lineage: Bacteria
Description: partial 16S ribosomal RNA
Rfam family: Bacterial small subunit ribosomal RNA
Source: RNAcentral
GUGUCAGCAGCCGCGGUAAUACGAGUGGUGCAAGCAUUAUUCGGAAUCAUUGGGCGUAAAGGGUGCGUAGGUGGCAUAUUAAGUCUACUGUUAAAUAUCUCGGCCUAACCGAGAGACUGCGGUGGAGACUGGUAAGCUAGAGGAUGGGAGAGAGAAGUGGAAUUCUCGGAGUAGCGGUAAAAUGCGUAGAUCUCGAGAGGAACACCGAUGGCGAAAGCAGCUUCUUGGACCAAUCCUGACACUGAUGCACGAAAGCGUGGGGAGCAAACAGGAUUAGAAACCCGUGUAGUCC